This 489-nucleotide ribosomal RNA is filed under the name uncultured bacterium. RNAcentral's name for it is "bacterial SSU rRNA". It matches the Rfam family "Bacterial small subunit ribosomal RNA", at positions 15 to 518 of the family's 1533-position model. The record is from RNAcentral.
GAUCCUGGCUCAGGAUGAACGCUGGCGGCGUGCUUAACACAUGCAAGUCGAACGGAGGUAUUGAAAGCUUGCUUUAGAUAUCUAGUGGCGGACGGGUGAGUAACGCGUGGGUAACCUACCCUGUACAGGGGGAUAGCAGUUGGAAACGACUGAUAAAACCGCAUAAAACGGCAGUACCGCAUGGUACAACCGUCAAAUAUUCAUAGGUACAGGAUGGGCCCGCGUCUGAUUAGCUAGUUGGUGGGGCAACGGCCUACCAAGGCGACGAUCGGUAGCCGGCCUGAGAGGGUGAACGGCCACAUUGGGACUGAGACACGGCCCAAACUCCUACGGGAGGCAGCAGUGGGGAAUAUUGGACAAUGGGGGAAACCCUGAUCCAGCGACGCCGCGUGAGUGAAGAAGUAUUUCGGUAUGUAAAGCUCUAUCAGCAGGGAAGAUGAUGACGGUACCUGACUAAGAAGCACCGGCUAAAUACGUGCCAGCAGCUGC